RNAcentral lists this long non-coding RNA (333 nucleotides) under Phasianus colchicus (ring-necked pheasant). RNAcentral's name for it is "lncRNA (ENSPCLG00000006294.1)". Lineage: Eukaryota; Metazoa; Chordata; Aves; Galliformes; Phasianidae. The record is from RNAcentral.
UCCACAGGCACUGCCCGAUUACAGAACACACAGAGUGUUGGCUCAUUCCUGAAUGCCUACACAACCAGAGAAUUUCGUAGCUGCUGACUUCUGCCAAUCAAGCCAGAACAGUUAAAGGAGGAAGAUACUGUCAAAGACAACCACUGGAAUAAUGCUUAUCAAUGAGAGGACAUGAAGAUAUGUCAAACAGGCUGUUCGCUGAGGAGCUCUCAAUUGUCCAUACUUCUAGAGGAAGAUGGAUGCUGCAGUGAAAGUAUGAAAGUGGAGCCCACGAUUUUUUGAAACUGUAAAAGUUGGAGAAUUACAGAUGGAGAAAAGUAAUUUCAAUUCCAG